Calypte anna (Anna's hummingbird) is the source of this 133-nucleotide non-coding RNA. The record is from Rfam. NCBI's taxonomy places the organism in Eukaryota, Metazoa, Chordata, Aves, Apodiformes, Trochilidae.
AUGCACAUUUCAUUGACCUGCUUUCUUUACAAGUGACGAGCAGUGUUAUUUCUGAUGUGCUAAAGAAAUGGUUGAAGGCUAAUUAGCAGCAUAGCUGUUUGUAGUUACUGCUGCCAGUCUCCUUCAUACAAAG